Molecule: long non-coding RNA, 232 nt
Filed under: Parus major (Great Tit)
Lineage: Eukaryota; Metazoa; Chordata; Aves; Passeriformes; Paridae
Description: lncRNA (ENSPMJG00000010152.1)
Source: RNAcentral
CAACUUCUUUCCCAUUAUUUCAGCCAAGAGGAGCAGUGAAAGAAUGGAAUAACCAGAUGAAGAAAAAACAGGACCAAGAUUUUGCUCAUUGUCUGGAAGACAAAUCCUUCUGGCAAUUAAUUGAAACACAACAGUGUUGCAUAUAACAGCAUGUGCUUGUGAUUACUAUUCUGUCUACACAAAUUACAGGUAAAAUACUGUUGCAAAAUAAAUUAGACACAGUUCCAUAACA